Molecule: ribosomal RNA, 109 nt
Filed under: Cyclospora sp. strain Guangzhou 01
Lineage: Eukaryota; Apicomplexa; Conoidasida; Eucoccidiorida; Eimeriidae
Description: partial 5.8S ribosomal RNA
Rfam family: 5.8S ribosomal RNA
About the family: 5.8S ribosomal RNA (5.8S rRNA) is a component of the large subunit of the eukaryotic ribosome.
Source: RNAcentral
CUUUCAGCAAUGGCAUGUCUUGGCUCGUGCAUCGAUGAAGGGACGCAGCGAAAUGCGAUACGCAUUGUGAAUUUGCAGAUUUCAGUGAACCAUCAGAUUUCUGAACGCA